This is a long non-coding RNA of Lathyrus oleraceus (garden pea), 1866 nucleotides long. RefSeq lists it as uncharacterized. NCBI's taxonomy places the organism in Eukaryota, Viridiplantae, Streptophyta, Magnoliopsida, Fabales, Fabaceae. The record is from RefSeq and is a predicted model, not a curated record. The transcript is spliced from 3 exons.
ACAUUUCUAACCAUCUGGGGGAGAACAAUCCAUUCUCCCAACCUAUCUCAUACACCAACACUUUCUCUUACACGUAUAGUCCAACAAAAUACAAUCCUUCUCUCACCCAACAUAGCCACCCCAUCAAAAUCACCUUACCAUUCAUGCAUCAUUAACAAUAUCUAUACAAGUCAUGAAUCAAUUGAAAGAUACAUCACGAUAACCAAACCUCAACUUUUUUUACAAAAUCACAAACCUUCCAUCAUAUAUUUAUCACCAUCAAACCUUACUCUUCAAAACAAAACCACACAAUAUUCGUCAAUAUCAUAACAAUAUCACCAAAUUUUUUUCACAAAACUCUCUUCCAUAUGAAUCUUCCUUCACCAUUAACAACUACACAACCUUCAAACACCAUAACCAAUCCAAAUUUAUUUAUGACAACAUAUUAACAUAACCUUAACUCCAAACAUUCACAACGCAAAAUUUAUAGCAAGCAUAAUAACAUCAACCCAUAUAACAUCCCAUAACAACCACCAAUUUGAAAUAAGGGGAAAAAAGAGAAGAAAAUAAUUGUUUCGGAACUUUCAUCAAGCACCUUAUGAACAACCUUAUGAGCAAAGAGAUCUCUUAGAUUUGAAACUCAUUCUCAUGACCAAUAACACAACCAAAAACAGUGAGAUAGAAAAAUAAAAAGCAACGAUGGUUCCAUAGGAAAGUAGGAAAGGCAGCUUGAAACAGUGUCUCAACACAUCAGCGCCGCCAUGAAACGGAUACACCCCAGCCGCCACAGGAGCAGCCCCACGUACGUCACCACCUGCAAAGUCGUCGCCGUAAAAGCCCUCUGGCCUCCCUCUAGCCACACCGGUCCUCGACGGACCGUACAACUAGCAUGAUGGAAAUGCACGCCCUAUCCGAUGUUGUUUCGACCUUCGUCUUUCGAUAGAGGACAUUCGUGUCGGAUGAAUAAUGAAGCUUGGAGCGUUUGGAUGAAAGACACACCCCUCUACUUACUCUUCUGGAAACCCAUGAAAGUUGAUGCUACUGAUCCGAACACUCGGACGCGACUCUUUGUCACUGGACUUCUUAGGAAUAAUCUAUAACCGAAGUGAAGACGGACCUACAUCACACUGAGAGGUAUCUUGGAAGCCUGCAAGUUAUACCAAACAUGGUGAGGACUACAAAAAGUCAAACACUUGUAAUCACGAGAGCUUUCCAGUUCUAUUGGUUUUAGGUGUAAACAAGAAUACCAGAGGGAUAGACAAGCAAAUCGGACAUUUUGGGCCCGUCGGAAGAGGAAAUUGGGCAACACAGUAGUCCUAACACAGCCACCCGUGUUGCCCAACACGGGCCGUGUCAGGAGAGGACAACUAGAAGGAGAAAACAAGGAGCUGACAUGGGUGUCCGUGUCAGCUGACACGGCCCGUGUUAGCCUCCUUAGAGGGGCGUGUCAAGGCUUUUUCAUCAGAAGUCCAACACGGUCUGUCGUGUUGCCUAACACGACCAGUGUUGGCUUGGACACCUCAUUUUCCAGUUUUUGCUGUAUUUUGACGCGGCUGAUCCCAGUGGGCAUUUUGGACUUUUGCUACAUCAAAUUUGUCAUCAGGAACUAUUUAGGGGAUUUUUGAAUACAGAGAAGGGACCUUUUUCACGAUCACAAAUUGGAGACGAUAAAGAUUGAAACGGUCAAAAGCGGCGAAGAACGGAGAUCUUUCAAGAGCGGAUGCAAUUGAAGAUCAACGGAAUUCCCAUUCUUUUGUAAUGUCUUGUUUUUAUUUUGUAUCUUAUUUGAAUAAUAUGAGAGGCUAAACCCCCUAAUGCCAGGGGGUGUCCCUGAAUUGAUCGUGUAAUGACUCUGAAGUUUUAAUGUCCUUAAUACAUGUUAUUUGU